This 414-nucleotide long non-coding RNA is filed under the name Homo sapiens (human). Its description in RNAcentral is "HSALNT0161033". The record is from RNAcentral. Lineage: Eukaryota; Metazoa; Chordata; Mammalia; Primates; Hominidae.
UUGACAUCUGUCAUUAAACUGUUUCCAGCUGCUGGCCUUGUUCUCUCAGCUGUUCUUCAACACUGAAGCCUUGUUUCGCCUGCUUCCGGGUUUGGAGCUCUUCCGGAGGCACAAGGGUUUCAGAAGGUUGACUUUUUGCCUUGUCAAGAUGAAUUUACAACCAAUUUUCUGGAUUGGACUGAUCAGUUCAGUUUGCUGUGUGUUUGCUCAAACAGAUGAAAAUAGAUGUUUAAAAGCAAAUGCCAAAUCAUGUGGAGAAUGUAUACAAGCAGGGCCAAAUUGUGGGUGGUGCACAAAUUCAACAUUUUUACAGGAAGGAAUGCCUACUUCUGCACGAUGUGAUGAUUUAGAAGCCUUAAAAAAGAAGGGUUGCCCUCCAGAUGACAUAGAAAAUCCCAGAGGCUCCAAAGAUAU